AUUGAACGCUGGCGGCAUGCCUUACACAUGCAAGUCGAACGGCAGCACGGGAGCAAUCCUGGUGGCGAGUGGCGAACGGGUGAGUAAUGUAUCGGAACGUACCUUUCAGUGGGGGAGUAACGUAGCGAAGUUACGCUAAUACCGCAUAUUCUGUGAGCAGGAAAGCAGGGGAGUCGCAAGACCUUGCGCUGAUUGAGCGGCCGAUAUCAGAUUAGCUAGUUGGUGAGGUAAAGGCUCACCAAGGCGACGAUCUGUAGCGGGUCUGAGAGGAUGAUCCGCCACACUGGAACUGAGACACGGUCCAGACUCCUACGGGAGGCAGCAGUGGGGAAUAUUGGACAAUGGGCGAAAGCCUGAUCCAGCAAUGCCGCGUGUGUGAAGAAGGCCUGAGGGGUUGUAAAGCACUUUCAAUCGUGAAGAAAAGUUGCAGGCUAAUACCCUGUGACCUUGACGUUAACGAUACAAGAAGCACCGGU
RNAcentral lists this ribosomal RNA (476 nucleotides) under uncultured bacterium. RNAcentral describes it as "bacterial SSU rRNA". It matches the Rfam family "Bacterial small subunit ribosomal RNA", at positions 30 to 497 of the family's 1533-position model. The record is from RNAcentral.